Macrobrachium nipponense is the source of this 769-nucleotide long non-coding RNA. RefSeq lists it as uncharacterized. The transcript has 2 exons. Lineage: Eukaryota; Metazoa; Arthropoda; Malacostraca; Decapoda; Palaemonidae. The record is from RefSeq and is a predicted model, not a curated record.
ACUUUAGUUUCGACUGAUAAUCGAUCAGAAUCGGUUAAACCUCUCUCGAGAGUUUUCUGCGAUAUUUGACGAGAUGAAAUUCUUCUGCGUCCUAUUGGCUAUCGUCCUAAUGGUUGCCCUCGUCAGCGCCGGCGGUUACGGCCACGGUCACGGUGGAUUUGGCGGUCACGGUCACGGAGGAUACGGCCACAGCAAGGGGCACAAGAUAGACGGCAGCUACGGCGGAGGAUAUUCAGACAACCACUUCCACCUUAGCGGAGGAUACGGGCACGGAGGAUACCAUUAACCAAGGGCGUUUUUCUGGCGAUGGAGCAGCUCAAUAAGGAACUGAGAUUGAAGGAUAAUCUGAGGUAUCAUCUAGUCUCUGGAAUGACUCUCUGGACUAUACGCAAAGGAUAUCCAGUGUCUUCAUUGCAGGCAGUGUCACCAAGGCUCCAGAAGGAUGUCAGGAGCAUCCUCCCUCAAAUGGCAUUAUUCUGAAACUUUACGGCUUUACAAAAACACUUCAAGCAACUAACUUCUACUCUCUAUUAUUUCUUUCAUUCUUACUAAAAAUGUACAUCUUCAAGUACAAUUCGACUUCUGAAUGAACAUACAUUUGUUAUAUGUGUGGAACAUAGUCAUGUUCAUUUCUGUGUUUUUGUACACGGUUGCUUACUAUAUAAUAAUUCUUAUUUUAUUUUGAUGUCAUUCUCAUAUACCCGUGAUCAUCUCUUGCAUAUCUUCAAUGUCGUCUACGAAAAAAAAUAGCAAUAAACAAAAAUGAAAA